RNAcentral lists this ribosomal RNA (448 nucleotides) under uncultured bacterium. Its description in RNAcentral is "bacterial SSU rRNA". It matches the Rfam family "Bacterial small subunit ribosomal RNA", at positions 329 to 795 of the family's 1533-position model. The record is from RNAcentral.
GACCAGACUCCUACGGGAGGCAGCAGUAGGGAAUUUUGCGCAAUGGGGGAAACCCUGACGCAGCAACGCCGCGUGAUUGAUGAAGCCCUUCGGGGUGUAAAGAUCUGUCAGUGGGGACGAAACUUGACGGUACCCACAGAAAAAGCAUCGGCUAACUCCGUGCCAGCAGCCGCGGUAAUACGGAGGAUGCGAGCGUUAUCCGGAUUUAUUGGGUUUAAAGGGUGCGCAGGCGGAAGAUCAAGUCAGCGGUAAAAUUGAGGGGCUCACCCUCUUCGAGCCGUUGAAACUGGUUUUCUUGAGUGAGCGAGAAGUAUGCGGAAUGCGUGGUGUAGCGGUGAAAUGCAUAGAUAUCACGCAGAACUCCGAUUGCGAAGGCAGCAUACCGGCGCUCAACUGACGCUCAUGCACGAAAGUGUGGGUAUCGAACAGGAUUAGAUACCCCAGUAUC